UGUUUCCUGAACCCCGCACGUGCAUGCGCCUGCUUCGCCUCGUCAGUCUUGGAGGUCGAAGGUCAUCUCUGACACAUCAAAAGCCAGCUGCUCCUGCGCCGCGGAGUCGGCAAAAGCCCCUUGGGUCCCCGACUGGCCGCUGGCUUGCUUGAUCGCUUCCAGCGUGGAUAAUAUGAAGCGGGAUCGCUGCUCCUCCGAGGCGGGAUCAGCCCAGCGGUGGGUCGGCAGAGAGGGUGAGUGGAGGAUGAAGUACGCCGACGCCAUGUAGACUUUGAAGAACUCCUGUUUCACAGCGGCCGUGUCUCGCUGCGACGUGAGGGGACAACUCAGAUCAAGUAAGCUUACAGACCCUCCUGGUGGUUCAGUGCUGGGUCCUGGUGGCGACAGAUUCUGAGAGAGGUCGUCUAUCUGCUCCAGGAUGUUCUGCAGUCGUCCUUCCUCCUCCAGUUUCCUCUGCUCGUAGUUCCCCACUGGAGCAAGCUCGUCAGCCUGAGAGAAACAUGCAACGACAGCUACUAUUUGCGGUUUUCUUGCGUUCAAGAGCCGUAAUAUUGUAGCAACUUGGUUGUUAACGUUUUUGAGAGCAUCAAAGGGACAGCUUAGCUUGCCGUUGUUGUUUUGUUUUGACAGUAAAGCGAUAGUUGAUCCAGUACCGUCUUACGUUUGUUAGAAAUAUAUAUGUGUGUGUGUGUUAAAAAAAAUACACACAUUUGGGAUUUUUUUCCCCACACAUGCCAUGUUUUAUGUUAAUAGAAAUCACACCUAUUGAUUAUUAUUAGAGAUGUCCGAUAAUAGAUUUUUUGCCGAUAUCCGAUAUUCCGAUAUUGUCCAACUCUUAAUUACCGAUUCCGAUAUCAACCGAUACGAUAUAUACAGUCGUGGAAUUAACACUUUAUUAUGCCUAAUUUUGUUGUAAUGCCCCGCUGGAUGCAUUAAACAAUGUAACAAGGUUUUCCAAAGUAAAUCAACUCAAGUUAUGGAAAAAAAUGCCAACAUGGCACUGCCAUAUUUAUUAUUGAAGUCACAAAGUGUAUUAUUUUUUUUAACAUGCCUCAAAACAGCAGCU
Molecule: long non-coding RNA, 1066 nt
Organism: Entelurus aequoreus (snake pipefish)
Lineage: Eukaryota; Metazoa; Chordata; Actinopteri; Syngnathiformes; Syngnathidae
Exons: 3
Source: RefSeq, a predicted model, not a curated record